This 453-nucleotide ribosomal RNA is filed under the name uncultured bacterium. RNAcentral's name for it is "partial 16S ribosomal RNA". It matches the Rfam family "Bacterial small subunit ribosomal RNA", at positions 28 to 506 of the family's 1533-position model. The record is from RNAcentral.
GAUGAACGCUGACAGAAUGCUUAACACAUGCAAGUCUACUUGAACUUCGGUUUGGGUGGCGGACGGGUGAGUCACGCGUAAAGAACUUGCCUCACAGUUAGGGACAACAUUUGGAAACGAAUGCUAAUACCUGAUAUUAUGAUUUUAGGGCAUCCUAGGAUUAUGAAAGCUAUAUGUGCUGUGAGAGAGCUUUGCGUCCCAUUAGCUAGUUGGAGAGGUAACGGCUCACCAAGGCGAUGAUGGGUAGCCGGCCUGAGAGGGUGAACGGCCACAAGGGGACUGAGACACGGCCCUUACUCCUACGGGAGGCAGCAGUGGGGAAUAUUGGACAAUGGACCAAUAGUCUGAUCCAGCAAUUCUGUGUGCACGAUGACGUUUUUCGGAAUGUAAAGUGCUUUCAGUUGGGAAGAAAAAAAUGACGGUACCAACAGAAGAAGUGACGGCUAAAUACGU